AAAUUGAAGAGUUUGAUCAUGGCUCAGAUUGAACGCUGGCGGCAGGCCUAACACAUGCAAGUCGAACGGUAACAGGAAGCAGCUUGCUGCUUUGCUGACGAGUGGCGGACGGGUGAGUAAUGUCUGGGAAACUGCCUGAUGGAGGGGGAUAACUACUGGAAACGGUGGCUAAUACCGCAUAACGUCGCAAGACCAAAGAGGGGGACCUUCGGGCCUCUUGCCAUCAGAUGUGCCCAGAUGGGAUUAGCUUGUUGGUGAGGUAACGGCUCACCAAGGCGACGAUCCCUAGCUGGUCUGAGAGGAUGACCAGCCACACUGGAACUGAG
Molecule: ribosomal RNA, 326 nt
Filed under: Salmonella enterica
Lineage: Bacteria; Pseudomonadati; Pseudomonadota; Gammaproteobacteria; Enterobacterales; Enterobacteriaceae
Also listed under: 2 other names
Description: bacterial SSU rRNA
Rfam family: Bacterial small subunit ribosomal RNA
Source: RNAcentral